UUUGUAGGCGACGAGAACCCGU
Molecule: microRNA, 22 nt
Filed under: Mus musculus (house mouse)
Lineage: Eukaryota; Metazoa; Chordata; Mammalia; Rodentia; Muridae
Description: mmu-miR-6896-5p
Source: miRBase by way of RNAcentral